CUGAAAGGGAUCUCAGAGGCCAGACUGUCAACUCCCUUUCACAGAAAAAGAAAACCAGUCCCCAGGAGGGUAGGUCCAAGGUCACAAAGUUAAUGAAUGUUAGAAGCAGGAUUUGAACUCCAUGCUCGUGAAAAGGGGCAUCUGGUCUCAGCUGAACUCCUCACAUACCCUGCCACACCUGAGCUGCCACACUGGCUGCUUCCAAGAAGGCUUCCAGGGCCAAUCCCCGCCAGCCUGGGAGUUUCAGGAAGUCCUACAGCCAAUGGAGGGAAGGCAGGGCCUUCUCCAAUCUCUUCUUCCCAGUCUCUAGCCUUGGGUGUUCCUUCCAGCUCUGAUAGUCCAAGAUUCUUCCACAUGACUGCUAUACAUUAUCUUGCCAGUCAGCCAGUAAGCAUUUAUUAA
Phascolarctos cinereus (koala) is the source of this 402-nucleotide long non-coding RNA. The record is from Ensembl. Lineage: Eukaryota; Metazoa; Chordata; Mammalia; Diprotodontia; Phascolarctidae.